This 871-nucleotide long non-coding RNA is filed under the name Androctonus crassicauda. Lineage: Eukaryota; Metazoa; Arthropoda; Arachnida; Scorpiones; Buthidae. The record is from RNAcentral.
AUAUGCAAAAUAAAAAAUGCAAUGCGUUUUACAUAAAAAAAUAUGAAUUAAUUCGUUAUAGGUAUAACUUCAAUAUUUUUUUGUCACUGGAUGGCGCCACUUUUCAACUCGAGUUCAUCGAAAUAUAUAUAUAUAUAUAUUCGACCUUAAUUCCCUUUACUCGAUGGUUACGACUAACGGCAUGGCGAAUUCAGACCGCUGAGAUCCUUGAAGGGAUCGGCUGGAUUGUAGAGGAUGGAUCGGAUCAUAAAUUCAUGAAUAAAUUUACUAAAUCGUAGGAUUCGAAAUCGAAUUUGGAUCUAUGGGGAAAGCUGAAACGUUUCCUGCUGACAAUUUGUCCGACAACUUUAGUAUUUAAAUAAACGAUGAAAAUUUUAUGUACAUCUUUAAGUACCUGUUACCAAUCUAACCGAUAGCAGAAGUAAAUUAUCAACCGGAUUAGCUGUGUGAUAAAAUAAUAGCUUACGACUUUAGAAGAUCUGAGUCUCACAUCUCCAAGUUUUAGGAUUGGGUCUACACCUGUCAGCUGAAUGGCCACGUAAUAUAGCAUUCGUUCAUCACUUCACACACCACUAUACUCGAAUCCUCUAAAAUUAGAUUUGAAGCCCCUCUCUUCUCUAGUUUUUCAGGAGGAUUCCAGGACAGGCCAUUUAACCCUAUCCUUCUUCCUUCCAGUUGGCUCCAUCAUAAGUAUUGGUCAGACCAUGAUGGGCUCUACAGGUGACCGCCGCCAAUUAUAUCCAUGGAUCGGUCGGAUGGCUGCAGUGAAAGUGUGACGCGCUUACACCUUGGAUGAUCCAGAUUCAAUUCCUGGGUCUUUUUUUUUUGUUAACAGAUGACGCCACAUUCCAUUCUCUAGAGAUCGGAAGAG